CACGUAGGCACCAAGCGUUGUCCGGAUUUACUGGGCGUAAAGGGCGCGUUAGGCGGUCGUGACAAGUCACUUGUGAAAUCUCCGGGCUUAACUCGGAACGGUCAAGUGAUACUGUCGGACUAGAGUACAGAAGGGGCAACUGGAAUUCUCGGUGUAGCGGUGAAAUGCGUAGAUAUCGAGAGGAACACCUGCGGCGAAGGCGGGUUGCUGGGCUGAUAACUG
RNAcentral lists this ribosomal RNA (222 nucleotides) under uncultured bacterium. Its description in RNAcentral is "partial 16S ribosomal RNA". It matches the Rfam family "Bacterial small subunit ribosomal RNA", at positions 524 to 742 of the family's 1533-position model. The record is from RNAcentral.